AGUUUACUUUCGGUUUCAGUUUGACGUGUUCUCGAACGGACACGUCUGUGGUCUCGUCGUCGUCUUUCUUGUCCGUAUCAACGGCUUAAAGCAGGCUGCAAUCAUGAAGACCUUCCUUGCUGCCGUCCUCUUCUUCGAUCUCUGUCUCGUGUGUCUCUCUACAACACGUCACGACCCCAUGGUUCAGGUGUACAGUCGGAACCCGGGUAGGAUGGCUGAGGAGAACGUCCUGAUCUGCCAUGUCAGCAACUUCCACCCACCAGAGAUCACAAUCGACCUUUUGAAAAACAGUGAAGUGAUUUCUGAAGCUGAGCAAUCCGACCUUUCCUUUGAGGACAACUGGCAGUAUCACCUCAUCAAGCACGCAACCUUCACCCCCACCUCGAGUGACAAGUUCGCCUGCCGGGUGACUCAUGAGAAGACAACAAAAGAGCACACCUGGGAACCAGACGAAUAACGGCUUCCGCUUCUUCCUCUUCUGGUUCCUUAAGAAUUGGAAUCACUGUGUGAAAGCAGACUGACUUUAACUACUAUGAAAGUGACUGUCAUUUGCAAUGCAAGGCACUGUACUCCAGCUCGCUUUCGGGGUCUUCAUUCAACAUCCAUCAGUCAAAUGUCUCCUGUACUGGGGGAUAUGAAUUCUUAUUAUUUGAAUUGAAGUUGAAUUUGUUUCUGCUAUGUAAUAUAUAUAACUAGAAGCUCUAUAUUCUCAUAGAUGAUUGACAGCAAACCAAAGUGUGAAUUAUCUGCUCUUUUUGCACCAAGGUCUGUUUCCCACCUGUCGACACGUUAUUCAACAUGACAGAUAUAUUAGUUAGAUAUUGUUCACGGGAGUCUCAGCCAAGAAGAUGGUCAAUGCUGCGUGACAUCUUGUACUGGUCAAAGUGAACUUUCACUGUGUGAGUUAAUAAACAUCUUGUAGUUGA
Long non-coding RNA from Synchiropus splendidus (mandarinfish), 926 nucleotides. RefSeq lists it as uncharacterized. The record is from RefSeq and is a predicted model, not a curated record. The transcript has 4 exons. Lineage: Eukaryota; Metazoa; Chordata; Actinopteri; Syngnathiformes; Callionymidae.